Molecule: ribosomal RNA, 253 nt
Filed under: uncultured bacterium
Lineage: Bacteria
Description: partial 16S ribosomal RNA
Rfam family: Bacterial small subunit ribosomal RNA
Source: RNAcentral
UACGGAGGGUGCAAGCGUUAUCCGGAUUCACUGGGUUUAAAGGGUGCGUAGGUGGGUUGGUAAGUCAGUGGUGAAGUCUCCGAGCUUAACUUGGAAACUGCCAUUGAUACUAUCAGUCUUGAAUAUUGUGGAGGUUAGCGGAAUAUGUCAUGUAGCGGUGAAAUGCUUAGAUAUGACAUAGAACACCAAUUGCGAAGGCAGCUGGCUACGCAUAUAUUGACACUGAGGCACGAAAGCGUGGGGAUCAAACAGG